This 253-nucleotide ribosomal RNA is filed under the name uncultured bacterium. Its description in RNAcentral is "partial 16S ribosomal RNA". It matches the Rfam family "Bacterial small subunit ribosomal RNA", at positions 524 to 776 of the family's 1533-position model. The record is from RNAcentral.
UACGUAGGGUGCGAGCGUUAAUCGGAAUUACUGGGCGUAAAGCGUGCGCAGGCGGCUUUGCAAGCCAGAUGUGAAAUCCCCGGGCUCAACCUGGGAACUGCAUUUGUGACUGCAAGGCUAGAGUACGGCAGAGGGGGAUGGAAUUCCGCGUGUAGCAGUGAAAUGCGUAGAUAUGCGGAGGAACACCAAUGGCGAAGGCAAUCCCCUGGGCCUGUACUGACGCUCAUGCACGAAAGCGUGGGGAGCAAACAGG